UACAGAGGGUGCGAGCGUUAAUCGGAAUUACUGGGCGUAAAGCGUGCGUAGACGGUUAUUUAAGUCGGAUGUGAAAGCCCCGGGCUCAACCUGGGAAAUGCAUUCGAGACUGAAUAGCUAGGGUGCGGUAGAGGGAAGCGGAAUUUCCGGUGUAGCGGUGAAAUGCGUAGAUAUCGGAAGGAACAUCAGUGGCGAAAGCGGCUUCCUGGACCAGCACCGACGUUCAGGCACGAAAGCGUGGGGAGCAAACAGG
RNAcentral lists this ribosomal RNA (253 nucleotides) under uncultured bacterium. RNAcentral describes it as "partial 16S ribosomal RNA". It matches the Rfam family "Bacterial small subunit ribosomal RNA", at positions 524 to 776 of the family's 1533-position model. The record is from RNAcentral.